AGUGAACGCUGGCGGUAGGCCUAACACAUGCAAGUCGAACGGCAGCACAGUAAGAGCUUGCUCUUACGGGUGGCGAGUGGCGGACGGGUGAGGAAUACAUCGGAAUCUACUUUUUCGUGGGGGAUAACGUAGGGAAACUUACGCUAAUACCGCAUACGACCUACGGGUGAAAGCAGGGGAUCUUCGGACCUUGCGCGAUUGAAUGAGCCGAUGUCGGAUUAGCUAGUUGGCGGGGUAAAGGCCCACCAAGGCGACGAUCCGUAGCUGGUCUGAGAGGAUGAGCAGCCACACUGGAACUGAGACACGGUCCAGACUCCUACGGGAGGCAGCAGUGGGGAAUAUUGGACAAUGGGCGCAAGCCUGAUCCAGCCAUACCGCGUGGGUGAAGAAGGCCUUCGGGUUUUAAAGCCCUUUUGUUGGGAAAGAAAAGCAGCAGGUUAAUACCCCGCUGUUCUGACGGUACCCAAAGAAUAAGCACCGGCUAACUUCGUG
This 492-nucleotide ribosomal RNA is filed under the name uncultured bacterium. RNAcentral's name for it is "partial 16S ribosomal RNA". It matches the Rfam family "Bacterial small subunit ribosomal RNA", at positions 29 to 507 of the family's 1533-position model. The record is from RNAcentral.